CUGCGGAGGGAUCAUUACCGAGUUUACAACUCCCAAACCCCUGUGAACAUACCACUUGUUGCCUCGGCGGAUCAGCCCGCUCCCGGUAAAACGGGACGGCCCGCCAGAGGACCCCUAAACUCUGUUUCUAUAUGUAACUUCUGAGUAAAACCAUAAAUAAAUCAAAACUUUCAACAACGGAUCUCUUGGUUCUGGCAUCGAUGAAGAACGCAGCAAAAUGCGAUAAGUAAUGUGAAUUGCAGAAUUCAGUGAAUCAUCGAAUCUUUGAACGCACAUUGCGCCCGCCAGUAUUCUGGCGGGCAUGCCUGUUCGAGCGUCAUUUCAACCCUCAAGCACAGCUUGGUGUUGGGACUCGCGUUAAUUCGCGUUCCCCAAAUUGAUUGGCGGUCACGUCGAGCUUCCAUAGCGUAGUAGUAAAACCCUCGUUACUGGUAAUCGUCGCGGCCACGCCGUUAAACCCCAACUUCUUGAAUGUUGACCUCGGAUCAGGUAGGAAUACCCGCUGAACUUAAGCAUAUCA
Molecule: unclassified non-coding RNA, 520 nt
Filed under: Fusarium oxysporum
Lineage: Eukaryota; Fungi; Ascomycota; Sordariomycetes; Hypocreales; Nectriaceae
Description: sequence contains ITS1, 5.8S rRNA gene, ITS2
Rfam family: 5.8S ribosomal RNA (bases 166-319)
Source: RNAcentral